UGAAUUUUGUAAAGGCGCUAUUAACGGACGCCUAAAGGGAGGUCCUACUCAGAAUAUAUAAACCGCCACAUUGCGGGCGGAAAAGCCCUCACCCUCAUUCUGUCGUAGAAGAAGCUUGUGUGAUAUGUGCGGGAAGACCGAGUGGACGCUGCACUGCUGCUCUGAGAGUGGGAUCUGUGUGACUGGCCUGUGGACGAGCUUCCUGGUUUCUACAAGUACUGCUUGAUGUGUGAAAUUCUCCCCCUCCACAAUACAAAUGCUGGUUAUCUUUGUGUAAAUCUAUAGCUCUGUUUUAUGUACUUAGUGUAAGUUUGCUCCUUUUUUUGAUUUACCAUUAAAUGAGACCCUGAAACCAUC
Molecule: long non-coding RNA, 357 nt
Organism: Cyprinus carpio (common carp)
Lineage: Eukaryota; Metazoa; Chordata; Actinopteri; Cypriniformes; Cyprinidae
Source: RefSeq, a predicted model, not a curated record